CAGUAGCCGCGGGAACACAGAGGGUGCGAGCGUUAAUCGGAUUUACUGGGCGUAAAGCGUGCGUAGGCGGCUUUGUAAGUCAGAGGUGAAAGCCCGGGGCUCAACCCCGGAAUUGCCUUUGAGACUGCAUCGCUUGAAUCCAGGAGAGGUGAGUGGAAUUCCGAGUGUAGAGGUGAAAUUCGUAGAUAUUCGGAAGAACACCAGUGGCGAAGGCGGCUCACUGGACUGGUAUUGACGCUGAGGUGCGAAAGCGUGGGGAGCAAACAGGAUUAGAUACCCGAGUAGUCCCUGUCUCUUAUAC
RNAcentral lists this ribosomal RNA (301 nucleotides) under uncultured bacterium. RNAcentral's name for it is "partial 16S ribosomal RNA". It matches the Rfam family "Bacterial small subunit ribosomal RNA", at positions 509 to 807 of the family's 1533-position model. The record is from RNAcentral.